RNAcentral lists this ribosomal RNA (385 nucleotides) under uncultured crenarchaeote. RNAcentral's name for it is "bacterial SSU rRNA". It matches the Rfam family "Archaeal small subunit ribosomal RNA", at positions 1 to 390 of the family's 1478-position model. The record is from RNAcentral. Lineage: Archaea; Thermoproteati; Thermoproteota.
UUUCCGGUUGAUCCUGCCGGACCUGACUGCUAUCGGAUUGAUACUAAGCCAUGCGAGUCAUUGUAGCAAUACAAGGCAUACGGCUCAGUAACGCGUAGUCAACCUAACCUAUGGACGGGAAUAACCUCGGGAAACUGAGAAUAAUGCCCGAUAGAACAUUAUGCCUGGAAUGGUUUAUGUUCCAAAUGAUUUAUCGCCGUAGGAUGGGACUGCGGCCUAUCAGUUUGUUGGUGAGGUAAUGGCCCACCAAGACUAUUACAGGUACGGGCUCUGAGAGGAGUAGCCCGGAGAUGGGUACUGAGACACGGACCCAGGCCCUAUGGGGCGCAGCAGGCGAGAAAACUUUGCAAUGUGCGAAAGCACGACAAGGUUAAUCCGAGUGGUU